RNAcentral lists this ribosomal RNA (447 nucleotides) under uncultured bacterium. RNAcentral's name for it is "partial 16S ribosomal RNA". It matches the Rfam family "Bacterial small subunit ribosomal RNA", at positions 29 to 523 of the family's 1533-position model. The record is from RNAcentral.
AACGAACGCUGGCGGCAGGCUUAACACAUGCAAGUCGAACGCCCCGCAAGGGGAGUGGCAGACGGGUGAGUAACGCGUGGGAAUCUACCGUACCCUACGGAAUAACGCAUGGAAACGUGUGUUAAUACCGUAUACGCCCUACGGGGGAAAGAUUUAUCGGGGUAUGAUGAGCCCGCGUUGGAUUAGCUAGUUGGUGGGGUAAAGGCCUACCAAGGCGACGAUCCAUAGCUGGUCUGAGAGGAUGAUCAGCCACAUUGGGACUGAGACACGGCCCAAACUCCUACGGGAGGCAGCAGUGGGGAAUAUUGGACAAUGGGCGCAAGCCUGAUCCAGCCAUGCCGCGUGAGUGAUGAAGGCCCUAGGGUUGUAAAGCUCUUUCACCGAUGAAGAUAAUGACAGUAGUCGGAGAAGAAGCCCCGGCUAACUUCGUGCCAGCCGCCGCCGUAA